AAAAGCUGUCUUCAGCAAGGCAGAAGCAGGGACAAGAGUCCCAUCUUCAUCACAAACGCUCUGUACACUUCUCCUUUCUGAAUCAAUGACUUAAAAACAAAACAAAACAUGGAACUCACCACUUGAAGGGACCUUUGUAGAAAAGCUGAAUUAUGGACAACUUAGUUUCACCAGAUACAUUCCCUUGAGGAGAUACAGCCAACAGAAAUACACAGGAAAAUUGCAUUUCUCAUAUCUGCUGCAGCAUAGGAAUGAUAGUAAUGAAAAUAUUCUGCAUUUAGAAAACACCUUUAUUCCAAGGACUC
Phyllostomus discolor (pale spear-nosed bat) is the source of this 305-nucleotide long non-coding RNA. RefSeq lists it as uncharacterized. The transcript is spliced from 3 exons. Lineage: Eukaryota; Metazoa; Chordata; Mammalia; Chiroptera; Phyllostomidae. The record is from RefSeq and is a predicted model, not a curated record.